UAGUUUGAUCCUGGCUCAGGACGAACGCUGGCGGCGUGCCUAAUACAUGCAAUUAUAACGGUGAAGGAGGAGCUUGCUCUUCUGGAUGAGUUGCGAACGGGUGAGUAACGCGUAGGUAACCUGCCUGGUAGCGGGGGAUAACUAUUGGAAACGAUAGCUAAUACCGCAUAAUAGUAGAUGUUGCAUGACAUUUGCUUAAAAGGUGGCCAUGCGUCUCUACCAGAUGGACCUGCGUUGUAUUAACUAGUUGGGGAGGUAGCGGCUCCCCCCGGUUACUAUACCUAUGCGACCUGAGAGGGUGAUCGGCCACUCUGGGACUGAGACUCGGCCCACACUCCUACGGGAGGCAGCAUUACGGAAUCUUCGGCAAUGGACGGAAGUCUGACCGAGCAACGCCGCGUGAGUGAAGAAGGUUUUCGGAUCGUAAAGCUCUGUUGUAAGAGAAGAACCAGUGUGAGAGUGGAAAGUUCACACUGUGACGGUAUCUUACCUAAAGGGACGGCUAACUACGUGCCAGCAGCCGCGGUAAUACCUAGGUCCCGAGCGUUGUCCGGAUUUAUUGCGCGUUCAGGGAGCGACCGUGGCUAUAUCAGUCUGAAUGUCCACGCUGUGCCUUAGGCAUAGUACGCUGCGGACACUGAGCAACUUGAGUGCGAGAGGGGAGAGUGUGAUUCUCUGUGUAUCGGUGCUGUGCUGAGAUAUAUGGAGGAACACCGGUGGCGAAAGCUGCUCUCUGGCUUGUAACUGACGCUGAGACUCGAAAGCGUGAGGAGCAACUUAUUUAGAUACCCUGGAGACUCUGGCCGUAGAUAUGAGUGCUAGGUGUUAGACCCUUUGCUGGGGUUUAGUGCCACAGCUAGCGCAUCUACACUCACACUAGGAGGAGUACGACCUGGUGUCUGAGCUCUGAUGAGUCGGCUGGCGUCCGCACAAGAGUGGAAGCAUGUGGAUCAGUCAAAGCACACGAAUACCUUAGCAGGUCUUUGUCAUCCCCUAUGACGA
Molecule: ribosomal RNA, 1002 nt
Filed under: uncultured bacterium
Lineage: Bacteria
Description: bacterial SSU rRNA
Rfam family: Bacterial small subunit ribosomal RNA
Source: RNAcentral